AAAGGAGAAGGUUCAUGAAGGGUUAAAAUUGGCCCUAAAUUUUUGACGUUUUUAAAAUCGGGCCAAUAAAUUACAAAUUUUGCAGAGAAAUACUUGUGACAAUACUAUCAAUAUAAAAAUAUAUUUUAUUGGCACCUUCCUUUUAAAUUUAUGAAGCUAUGACCCCUGAAAUAUACAUUAUUUGUAUUUUUGGUCAAUUUUGAUCAAAUUUUU
Molecule: long non-coding RNA, 213 nt
Filed under: Mytilus galloprovincialis (Mediterranean mussel)
Lineage: Eukaryota; Metazoa; Mollusca; Bivalvia; Mytilida; Mytilidae
Source: RNAcentral